GUCGACCGCCUGGGGAGUACGGCCGCAAGGUUAAAACUCAAAUGAAUUGACGGGGGCCCGCACAAGCGGUGGAGCAUGUGGUUUAAUUCGAUGCAACGCGAAGAACCUUACCUACCCUUGACAUCUUCGGAAGCCGAGAGAGAUCUUGGUGUGCCUUCGGGAACCGAAAGACAGGUGCUGCAUGGCUGUCGUCGGCUCGUGUUGUGAAAUGCUGGGUUAAGUCCCGUAACGAGCGCAACCCCUGUCCCUAUUUGCCAGCGAUUCGGUCGGGAACUCUAGGGAGACUGCCGGCGACAAACCGGAGGAAGGUGGGGACGAUGUCAAGUCAUCAUGGCCCUUACGGGUAGGGCUACACACGUGCUACAAUGGCAGGUACAAAGGGUUGCAAGACGGCGACGUGGAGCUAAUCCCAUAAAGCCUGCCUCAGUCCGGAUCGGAGUCUGCAACUCGACUCCGUGAAGUCGGAAUCGCUAGUAAUCGUGCAUCAGAAUGGCACGGUGAAUACGUUCCCGGGCCUUGUACACACCGCCCGUCACACCAUGGGAGUGGACUGCACCAGAAGUGGUUAGCCUAACUUCGGAGGGCGAUCACCACGGUGUGGUUCAUGACUGGGGUGAAGUCGUAACAAGGUAGCCGUA
RNAcentral lists this ribosomal RNA (638 nucleotides) under Franzmannia pantelleriensis. Its description in RNAcentral is "bacterial SSU rRNA". It matches the Rfam family "Bacterial small subunit ribosomal RNA", at positions 864 to 1504 of the family's 1533-position model. Lineage: Bacteria; Pseudomonadati; Pseudomonadota; Gammaproteobacteria; Oceanospirillales; Halomonadaceae. The record is from RNAcentral.